GACAGCUGUUUAAAUGGAGAUUUAAACUAACCUUGUCCUGUCACAAAUCCCAUUGCUUGGAUGCUUGAGCUGCUGCCGCGAAGCCGUUUGUGCAGGGAGGCUGUUUGCCAGCAGAAGGGGACUGGUGCCAGGUUACCUUGUUCUCUGGGAGCUGGUCAGUGCUGUGGGGUCUGCAGCCAGCCCUCCCUGCCCAGCCAGCCUGGGCACACAGGGUGCUGUGCCUGGUGCCAGCUGUCUCCAGGCAGCCCUGGUGACCCUGCCGCAUCCUCCUUUUUGCCAGCUAUCACCUCAAGGAGAAGCAAUACAUUUUCUUCAGAGACUUGGUGCAGCCUCCAGCGCAGAAAUUUCAGCCAGUGUUAUUGCCUGUCAGUUGUAAUUUAGAAUUUCAGCCAGCAAGGAUAUAAUAAGUGAAGACAUGCUCCAGAAUGAGUUUGUCCUUAUGGAUCCUUAUUCUGGCAACUUGAUCUUCAAAAGAGACAUCAGAAAACAGGUAAAUAACAAUUAUUUUGAUCCAUUUAGUUUUGGUAUUGAAGUACAAUUUAUGGGAGGUGCACAAAAGAGCAC
This 564-nucleotide long non-coding RNA is filed under the name Zonotrichia albicollis (white-throated sparrow). Its description in RNAcentral is "lncRNA (ENSZALG00000006630.1)". The record is from RNAcentral. Lineage: Eukaryota; Metazoa; Chordata; Aves; Passeriformes; Passerellidae.